This 4876-nucleotide long non-coding RNA is filed under the name Sus scrofa (pig). RNAcentral describes it as "lncRNA (ENSSSCG00000058158.1, ENSSSCG00110002097.1)". Lineage: Eukaryota; Metazoa; Chordata; Mammalia; Artiodactyla; Suidae. The record is from RNAcentral.
AUUGCCUUUCAAAACAAAUGCAGUCAAUUCUAUGCGACUGAUUUUAAAAGUCCAAUAACAAUCUGUGAAGUCAUCCAAAUUUUACAAAUUUUAGGCAAGGACAUUUUGAGGUUACAGUAAAUGGUUAAUUGUCUUUAAAAUUUUCUACGACAAAACCAGGGAUGUGUCUCCAUUUUUGUCUUCAUUUGAAACAUAGCCUUAAAAAGGCAACUCUUGUUUUAGCUACUUAGCACACAACAGCUUUCUCUAAUGAUGGUAAAAUUAAAAAGUAAAUGUGUGGAGGUAAUCACUAAUUUAUUUCUGGUUUCCAGUUUUUGUUUUUUCCAGACUUUGAUGAAUUGAUAAAUUAUUGAGAUUUCAUCAUUCUAGGUACCAUAAAGAACAUGCAGAAAAGAUGAAGAAACCAAAGAAAGAACAUUAACGCUUUCCUCUGUCUUGCUCUCAGUUUUUGGAGGUAUUUUUAUUAUCCUGAAGGGAAUAUUUGUAAAUGGUUAGUUUAUCUCACUUAGACCAUCUCACUUCAUUAGGAUGGGACGUCCUUUAGAACAAACAUUACUAAAAAUGACUUCCAUUUAUUGGGCCCUUAAUAUGUUCAAAGCAAAAUAUGAACAGUUUACAUAGGUCAUUGCGUUGAUUUCUCACAUGAAUCUUAAAAGGUAGAUCUUUUUAUUAUCCUCAAGUUGAUGAUAAGGAAACAGAAAUCCCAAGUAAAUUAUCCAAGAAAAUAAACCAGGGUGAUGAAAUAAGGGAUAAGGCAAAGAGUCAACCCCAGGUCUACCUGAUUUGAGAGUCUACCGUUUAACUACUACAAUGAAUUAUCUGUAUUUGGUUGUUUGGGAUAAGCAAAUAAAGUGAUAUAUAUGAAGGGAGUGUUCUCUAGACAGAAUAUAUUUGAGGAGACAAAGAUAAUCCAAUUCAACUAGAAUGGAAGUAAUAUUUAGAUAAAAGAGAAAAAAGAGAAAAGAUACUCGGGUAUCUAAAUGAUGAUAAAUAAAGCAUAGGACUGUGGAGAACUGGUCAUAAAUUAUCUACCCUGUUUUUUUUCCCAAGCCCAAAUAUCUGAGUGCUUAUUAACUACUCUAAGUCACCACAGGGAACAUAAGGAUGAGGCCAACAGGGUCAUUGUCUGACCUGCCAGUGCCAGGCCACGGGGGAUAAUUUGCCAAUGCCUUGAGAGGAGAAUAAGCAAACCCAGAGUGAGAAACCACUUCUGCAUGUGAAAUGUGGUGUAAGUCACCUCCACUGAAAGAGUAUUAGACAAAAACAGAAGAGACUAAAAGCAAAGAACAUCAGUACAGAUAAGACUGAACAAAUGGAAGCAUGUGAGGCCCUGAAGACCCCAAAGCAAUUGCAGAAAAGGGAACAACAAAAAGGAAAUCACAGUCAAAGCUAAACAGUCAAAGCUUUGGACUCAGAAAUGCUAGAAAAAGAUGAGUAAGUGCUUGUUGUUGAGUCGCUCCCAGAAAGGCUGAAGUGCAGCGCUUUGAAUAAUUUUGGUGCUGUUUUAUCUGAUUUUAUAUUCAUCAAAACAGAAGUAAAUAAGGAAGGGAAGUGGAAUUAAUUGUUCCAAUCAACAGGUUUUGAGUGAGCCUAUCUCAGGGCACAAAAGGCUACAUUAAACUAACUACUCCAGUGAGAAAGAUGUCACUAAAUACACAAGUCACGCCUCCGGGUGCAACGGAGACAGUUGAGGAUGAAAUGGAUGCUCUGAGUGGCUUUUGCCAAGAUGACGGGAACACUGAAGGGCUAAUACUUGAGCUGUGCUUGGAAGAGAGGGCAAGGUUAGAGAGACGUAGAUGAUAAGAGAGCUUUCGGGUAGAAGGAAUCCAUAAAGUCAGAACCACCAGAAAGGACAGAUAUUUUGAGUGCAACAUCAUUCUGAGAACAUAAAAUCCACAUUGGGAAAAAGCAAGAGCCGACGCUGGAAGAGUAUAUGGUAGGAAUUGAUCUGGAAGCGUCUUAAAUGCUGACUUAAUGACUUUGGACUUCCUCUGGCAAAUAAUCGCCUUACGUCCCUUCUUAGAACCUGAUGUGGAAGAGGCACAUUUCUCAGAGAACAGCACAAUGCAAUCCAAGCUCUCAAGGAACUAAGUUAACAGAGACGGGCUUUUCAACGGAAAGCACAAUUUUGAGUAUUGUGAUCUGCCUGAAUGGGGGAAAUUUAAAUAAAUCUCUGUGACAAGCCGAUCAUGCUGAACAGAAACUAGAUUAGGUUUUUCAGAAACUGAAGUGUCAAAAAUACAUUUACGAAGACCUAAAGUAUUAAUUUACACAUACAAUUUAGUGUUGUGUAUGUGCAUGUUGAGUGAAUGAAAAGAAAAACUAACGGUCAUAAGUGGAUGUCUCCCCCAAAAGGUAAAGAAUUUUUUUUUUCAAUCUAUUUCCAGGAAACUAGGAUAUGUUAUUGAAUAACAGGAUUCUCAAAGUAAAUACAGAGAAAGUUGUAGCCCAAAUUGGAUAUUCACAAAUGGGAAUGAAAAAGCAGGGGCAGCUCUGGUUUGGAAGUGUAUGUGAGUAUAUGGAGGUGUUUAUAUGUGCACAUGAAUAUACUCUCCCACAGAGCAGUGUUUCUGUAAAGGCUAGGAUCGUUUUAUUACGUAAUAAUCAUCUUACUACAGACAAACUGCAUGGCGAAAAAUGGAAGCCAAAGGUUUACACAACUCCAGCCAAGGAAAGACACCCCUAACCAAUUAUUUUCUCUGUGUACACAUAGGAAAAUACUAAUUGUCCCCUGUAAGGUAAGACUCAAGGUAAACUGGUUUUAAAUAAUUACAUACCCAUAAAAUCCAAGAAACUAAUUUUCCUUCUUCUUUCCUUAAACUGUUAGCAGUCCUAUAACUUUAAAUUUCAUGCAGAAGCAAUUGUUAGUAAACAUUUUAAAUUUAUAUUCCAGAUGUUAUAGGAACUUUAGAGUGACCAUCCUAUAACUUAAAACCGGGGGUUCUAUAAUUGAAAUUAAACAUGAAUCGACCAGUCUUCGAGUUGAGGUUCAAAUCUUGCAAAUGCUUAAUUCAAAAAUAGCUCAAUUUUCUUAUUCAGAUUUAUUAAGUAUACAUGUAAAUUCCCAUCAUUGAUACUUUUUUUCUGUAGAGAUAUAUAUACUAUCUUCACUGUAUCCUGAAGAACUGUAACUUCGUUAAUACAACUCUGUCUUUGACAAAUCUCCCUGAGAUGUGGAAGGUAUACAGAGCUUUUAUGUGUAACUCAUUGUCUCUGUAUUUCAAGGAUUCCAAUCUGUCCUUGCCCACACAGUCAGAGAGAAAGUAGACAGACCACGAGUUCCUGUUGUGACUCAGUGGAAACAAAUCUGACUAGUAUCCAUGAGGACACAGGUUCAUCCCGGGCCUCGCUCAGUGGCUUAAGGAUCUGCCGUUGCCAUGAGCUGUGGUGCAGGUUGCAGAUGCAGCUCGAAUCUGGCAUUGCUGUGGCUGUAGUUUAGGCCAGCAACUACAGCUCCGAUUCGACCUCUAGCCUGGGAACCUCCAUAUACCUUGUGUGCAGCCCAAAAAAAAUAAGGAAGUGGACAGACCAAAGCCUUGACAUGUGAACCUCAUAAAACUUUACUAGCCUCAUAGCCUCAUCCUUUUCUAGCAAUGUAGCCUUGGGCAAAUCACUUGACAUUCUUCAGCUAAAUACUCCUCCUCUUAUGAAAUGAUUAUAAAUGAUAAUAGUCCUUUGGAGGUUGUCAAGAUAGCUAGAGAUGGUGGAAUGUCCCAUAGUAAGUCAUCAAUAUAUAUACAUAUAUCCCUUCCAUUUAAUUGUCCAAUCUGAAACUGUAAACCCAGUGUGAGUUUUGCAAUGGAGGUUUUGUUUUCCAUUAGGAUGUUCUUGGCUCUGUAGCCUCCUGGUCCUCAGCUCACUUGUUCAAGUCCUUCUCCUUCAAGGUCUUGUAAUGCUCUGAGUGCAGGAUUUAAGUUUAGUGACUCAUUUCUGACCAUUUGCACCAUUAGAAUGCCCUAAUCAAUGUACUUUUAAAAAAAAAUUUCUUUUUUCAUUUUUGGCUGUCCUGAGGCAUAUGGAGUUCCCAGGCCAGGGAUCAGAUCUAAGCCACAGUUGUAACCUACAUUGAUUGCAGUUACAGCAACGCCAGGUCCUUUAACCCACUGUGCUGGGCUGAGGAUUGAACCUGUGUCCUGGUGCUACGGAGACACCGCCCAGCCAUCCUGUUGUGCCACAGCAGGAACUCCCAUCAUUUUUUUAAAAAAAAUUUCUUAGUGCUUUCUUAUUCACCUCAGUCCCUUUCAGAAAAAAACCUUAUCAUUGACUUCCAAUUCUACCACUUGGAGAGAGUAGGUUUGCUCCAUAUUGUCAACCAAAGCCUGAUACAAGGGAUACUCAAGCAUCCUGGACAGGAGCGCACUGGAGGCUAGAAUUACUGAAUGGCUUCUCUUCAGAAGUGGUGAUUUGAGGGAAGAACUUUUUUCAAGCAUGGCUUUUUGUUUCUUAACCGAAGUGUGCUAGCAAGAAACAGUUCUAAGUGGAGAAACAGGAAAACAUGAGAGAGAGGCUGUCAAUUUGUUUCCUAAAGGGAUCAUUUUCCAGCGGCAUUGUGCCAGAAAGCUGGUCUUUCCCAGAGUCUUUUCCCAUCCCUCAAACUCAGUUACAGACUGUGUGCAGGGUCAGUGCAAUUUAUGUCAUCAGUCAGAAAAGCCACACUGGAGAGAAAUGUGAGAUGCGGGUUGUGGUUAGUGUGACCGUGAGGCCAGACUGAACGGUGGUGCCAGGAGGUUCAGUGUGGUGUAAUCAGAGGGAGACAAGGAUGUGACCAAGGUAAUCAUUUGCUUUAAGAGUCUCAGGCCAACAUGAGGUCUUUGGAGGAUAAGGUGGCCUGAAACUUCUUUUAAGGGAGGAUGUGGACAAAUAUCUUAAAAAAAAC